Molecule: ribosomal RNA, 520 nt
Filed under: uncultured Glomus
Lineage: Eukaryota; Fungi; Glomeromycota; Glomeromycetes; Glomerales; Glomeraceae
Description: SSU rRNA
Rfam family: Eukaryotic small subunit ribosomal RNA
Source: RNAcentral
AGCAGCCGCGGUAAUUCCAGCUCCAAUAGCGUAUAUUAAAGUUGUUGCAGUUAAAAAGCUCGUAGUUGAAUUUCGGAAUCAAUAUGUUGGUCGUGCCUCGGUACGUACUAGCUUAUUGGUUUCUCCUUUCUGAAGAACCAUGAUGUCAUUUAUUUGGUGUCGUGGGGAAUCAGGACUGUUACUUUGAAAAAUUAGAGUGUUUAAAGCAGGCUCACGCUUGAAUACAUUAGCAUGGAAUAAUGAAAUAGGACGUUUGAUUCUAUUUUGUUGGUUUCUAGGAUCGACGUAAUGAUUAAUAGGGAUAGUUGGGGGCAUUAGUAUUCAAUUGUCAGAGGUGAAAUUCUUGGAUUUAUUGAAGACUAACUACUGCGAAAGCAUUUGCCAAGGAUGUUUUCAUUAAUCAAGAACGAAAGUUAGGGGAUCGAAGACGAUCAGAUACCGUCGUAGUCUUAACCAUAAACUAUGCCGACUAGGGAUCGGAUGAUGUUAAUUUUUAAUGACUCAUUCGGCGCCUUACGGG